Molecule: transfer RNA, 40 nt
Filed under: Steinernema glaseri
Lineage: Eukaryota; Metazoa; Nematoda; Chromadorea; Rhabditida; Steinernematidae
Description: tRNA-Ser
Source: RNAcentral
GGUUGUGUUUUGAAAACACAAUUUGGGUAUUUCAACCCUU